GUGCAGCCGCCGCGGUAAUACCGGCAGCCCGAGUGAUGGCCGAUAUUAUUGGGCCUAAAGCGUCCGUAGCUGGCCGAACAAGUCCGUCGGGAAAUCCACGUGCUUAACACGUGGGCGACCGGCGGAAACUGUUCGGCUUGGGGCCGGAGGACCCGAGGGGUACGUCCGGGGUAGGAGUGAAAUCCCGUAAUCCUGGACGGACUGCCGAUGGCGAAAGCACGUCGCGAGAACGGAUCCGACAGUGAGGGACGAAAGCCGGGGUCUCCAACCGGAUUAGAUACCCGGGUAGUCC
This 292-nucleotide ribosomal RNA is filed under the name uncultured bacterium. Its description in RNAcentral is "partial 16S ribosomal RNA". It matches the Rfam family "Archaeal small subunit ribosomal RNA", at positions 455 to 747 of the family's 1478-position model. The record is from RNAcentral.